Molecule: ribosomal RNA, 662 nt
Filed under: Enterococcus mundtii
Lineage: Bacteria; Bacillati; Bacillota; Bacilli; Lactobacillales; Enterococcaceae
Description: bacterial SSU rRNA
Rfam family: Bacterial small subunit ribosomal RNA
Source: RNAcentral
GCAGAACUUCCUUUUCACCGGAGCUUGCUCCACCGGGAAAAGAGGAGUGGCGAACGGGUGAGUAACACGUGGGUAACCUGCCCAUCAGAAGGGGAUAACACUUGGAAACAGGUGCUAAUACCGUAUAACAAUCGAAACCGCAUGGUUUCGUUUUGAAAGGCGCUUUACGGUGCCGCUGAUGGAUGGACCCGCGGUGCAUUAGCUAGUUGGUGAGGUAACGGCUCACCAAGGCCACGAUGCAUAGCCGACCUGAGAGGGUGAUCGGCCACAUUGGGACUGAGACACGGCCCAAACUCCUACGGGAGGCAGCAGUAGGGAAUCUUCGGCAAUGGACGAAAGUCUGACCGAGCAACGCCGCGUGAGUGAAGAAGGUUUUCGGAUCGUAAAACUCUGUUGUUAGAGAAGAACAAGGGUGAGAGUAACUGUUCACCCCUUGACGGUAUCUAACCAGAAAGCCACGGCUAACUACGUGCCAGCAGCCGCGGUAAUACGUAGGUGGCAAGCGUUGUCCGGAUUUAUUGGGCGUAAAGCGAGCGCAGGCGGUUUCUUAAGUCUGAUGUGAAAGCCCCCGGCUCAACCGGGGAGGGUCAUUGGAAACUGGGAGACUUGAGUGCAGAAGAGGAGAGUGGAAUUCCAUGUGUAGCGGUGAAGGGGCGUAGAUA